AGCGAACGCUGGCGGCAGGCUUAACACAUGCAAGUCGAGCGGGCACUUCGGUGUCAGCGGCAGACGGGUGAGUCACACGUGGGAACGUACCCUUCGGUUCGGAAUAACGCUGGGAAACUAGCGCUAAUACCGGAUACGCCCUUUUGGGGAAAGGUUCACUGCCGAAGGAUCGGCCCGCGCCUGAUUAGCUAGUUGGUGGGGUAAUGGCCUACCAAGGCGACGAUCAGUAGCUGGUCUGAGAGGAUGAUCAGCGACACUGGUACUACGACACGGCCCAGACCCCUACGGGAGGCAGCAGUGGUGAAUAUUGGACAAUGGGCGCCAGCCGGAUCCAGCCAUGCCGCGUGAGUGAUGAAGGCCUUAGGGUUGUAAAGCUCUUUUGUCCGGGACGAUAAUGACGGUACCGGAAGAAUAAGCCCCGGCUAACUUCGUG
RNAcentral lists this ribosomal RNA (433 nucleotides) under uncultured bacterium. RNAcentral's name for it is "partial 16S ribosomal RNA". It matches the Rfam family "Bacterial small subunit ribosomal RNA", at positions 29 to 507 of the family's 1533-position model. The record is from RNAcentral.